CCAAAGAAUAUGACUGUGGUGCCCACAGCCCUAAUCUUGGCCAUCACUGUGGGAUCGAUCCACUGUGGGAAGAAAUAGAAUUGGGUUGGUGUUAAUGCUUCCUGAUGCUUCCGUUGUUAUGGUGAUGCACUCGUUGCUAUGGUGAUGGUGCCAUUGCCAUGGAGAUGCAGUGACUCUUACAGCGACAGAGUUAAGAGAUUAUCAUGACUGGGGACAACACUUGGAGGCUCUUGUGUUGUGGACUGUGUGUGGAGGAGGAGGCUGGUUACGUCACUCACCCCGUGACACAACAACCACAUCACUGCUGCAACACUUGCGUUUAACAAAGCACUUGAGGGAGAGCCACUUGUACGAGCAGGAGGGACGCAACUUAAUGUUGGUAAACUGAUCUUGAUGUAAGGAAUUAAACUCUUUUGCCUUUGGAUCAAACCUGAUUACCUCCUGUUCCCCAGGCACUGUGGGACCUCUGCUAGUUAAGCACUUCCUCAAUAAAGUAAUAAUAGUG
This is a non-coding RNA of Cherax quadricarinatus, 505 nucleotides long. The record is from RefSeq and is a predicted model, not a curated record. Lineage: Eukaryota; Metazoa; Arthropoda; Malacostraca; Decapoda; Parastacidae.